Molecule: ribosomal RNA, 492 nt
Filed under: uncultured bacterium
Lineage: Bacteria
Description: partial 16S ribosomal RNA
Rfam family: Bacterial small subunit ribosomal RNA
Source: RNAcentral
AGUGAACGCUGGCGGUAGGCCUAACACAUGCAAGUCGAACGGCAGCACAGUAAGAGCUUGCUCUUACGGGUUGCGAGUGGCGGACGGGUGAGGAAUACAUCGGAAUCUACUUUUUCGUGGGGGAUAACGUAGGGAAACUUACGCUAAUACCGCAUACGACCUACGGGUGAAAGCAGGGGAUCUUCGGACCUUGCGCGAUUGAAUGAGCCGAUGUCGGAUUAGCUAGUUGGCGGGGUAAAGGCCCACCAAGGCGACGAUCCGUAGCUGGUCUGAGAGGAUGAUCAGCCACACUGGAACUGAGACACGGUCCAGACUCCUACGGGAGGCAGCAGUGGGGAAUAUUGGACAAUGGGCGCAAGCCUGAUCCAGCCAUACCGCGUGGGUGAAGACGGCCUUCGGGUUGUAAAGCCCUUUUGUUGGGAAAGAAAAGCAGCAGGUUAAUACCCCGCUGUUCUGACGGUACCCAAAGAAUAAGCACCGGCUAACUUCGUG